UUCCUAAUUUGGUUUACAAGUAUGAUUGGGUUUUCAUACUUAUGUGUGAGAUAGGCCUCCCUCAAACCUUAUUACAACAUUGGUACAUUACCCAUUUGACA
Molecule: small nucleolar RNA, 101 nt
Organism: Otolemur garnettii (small-eared galago)
Lineage: Eukaryota; Metazoa; Chordata; Mammalia; Primates; Galagidae
Source: Ensembl